This 250-nucleotide long non-coding RNA is filed under the name Carica papaya (papaya). Its description in RNAcentral is "long non-coding RNA (CPAP_LNC010689)". The record is from RNAcentral. Lineage: Eukaryota; Viridiplantae; Streptophyta; Magnoliopsida; Brassicales; Caricaceae.
AAAAAGGAAUAAAAGGUUACGUGAAUUGAUAAAUGGAUAAUGUAGACAGCCUGACUAGAUAUCCUGGGAGAUGGUGGACGGACCGGGUCCGUAGGGAACCCUACCGAGAAUGUGGUCUCUCAUCCGUACGGGGUAUGGAGACCUUCUGUGUUUUGGCGCCCAUACCGGACGGGGUAUUGAGGUUCAUGGUUUUGGUGCCCAUACCGGACGGGGUAUGGGGACGGCUCUGGAAUCAGGUUAUAAUUGUUAA